RNAcentral lists this ribosomal RNA (171 nucleotides) under uncultured bacterium. Its description in RNAcentral is "partial 16S ribosomal RNA". The record is from RNAcentral.
CACGCCCUAAACGAUGUCAACUAGUUGUCGGGGAUUCAUUUCCUUGGUAACGCAGCUAACGCGUGAAGUUGACCGCCUGGGGAGUNACGCGAAAAACCUUACCUACGCUUGACAUGCCAGGAACCUUCCAGAGAUGGAUGGGUGCCCGAAAGGGAGCCUGGACACAGGUGC